This 403-nucleotide ribosomal RNA is filed under the name uncultured bacterium. RNAcentral's name for it is "bacterial SSU rRNA". It matches the Rfam family "Bacterial small subunit ribosomal RNA", at positions 975 to 1375 of the family's 1533-position model. The record is from RNAcentral.
CAACCUUUGACAUGUCCCGUAUGGGCACCAGAGAUGGAGCCCUUCAGUUCGGCUGGCGGGAGCACAGGUGCUGCAUGGCUGUCGUCAGCUCGUGUCGUGAGAUGUUGGGUUAAGUCCCGCAACGAGCGCAACCCUCGCCCUUAGUUGCCAUCAUUCAGUUGGGCACUCUAAGGGGACUGCCGGUGAUAAGCCGCGAGGAAGGUGGGGAUGACGUCAAGUCCUCAUGGCCCUUACAGGUUGGGCUACACACGUGCUACAAUGGCGGUGACAAUGGGAUGCAAUGGAGCAAUCCUGCGCAAAUCUCAAAAAACCGUCUCAGUUCGGAUUGGGGUCUGCAACUCGACCCCAUGAAGUUGGAAUCGCUAGUAAUCGCAGAUCAGCACGCUGCGGUGAAUACGUUCCC